Molecule: long non-coding RNA, 2457 nt
Filed under: Setaria viridis
Lineage: Eukaryota; Viridiplantae; Streptophyta; Magnoliopsida; Poales; Poaceae
Description: long non-coding RNA (SVIR_LNC005014)
Source: RNAcentral
CAGAAAUACUAGGCUCACGUGGAAUUAUUCGAAUCAUAUGUAAUAGGGCACCUGCUGCCCACUCAGCGCAUACCUCACAGGCUUCAGCGGUUCAGCUACGACGUGUUAGAUGAUCUUAUCAGGGCCAACUAGAGGUUAAAAUAUCUUGGCUUUGUUUGGGUUCAGACUUUAUCUCUACCACUUAUUAAAAUAUAGAAGGAGAAGCUUUCACCUUUGCUGUCAGAUUGCCGAGUAAUUUAACCUAGAGUUAACGUCGAUAGCAUCAUUCUUGUCGUGCCCGCUGGCGUGCAAGUGGCUCUUCUUUUAUUUCCCUUCUGGCAACGUCGAUAGCAUCAUUCUUGUCGUGCCCGCCUCGAAUACUCGCUGGCGUGCAUGUGGCUCUUCUUUUAUUGCUCCCUUCUGUCGUGCCCUGCACUAUAGACUUAUGGUGCUUCCAUGUUCCACGAAACCUCCCACUACCACCACGUCGUUGGCAAUGGAGCGGCCAUGAUGCAUUUUUCAAUCGCAUUAUCCUUCACAUACCCGUCCCACUGAGAACUUAUCUGCAGUAAACUUGCUUUUUUUUUCCGUCCUUCCCCUUGGUGCAUAUUUCUAUUCUCUUUUACUGUUCAUGCAUACCCUCCAAUUCAUGGCAUGCUCGGACAGAAGCCUGCAUAUCCACCAAAUAAAUCCGUCUUGUAUUUCAUGAACCUUGUUUUGCAUCCAGGCAGAGAACCCGGAUGAUCUUUAUGAAUAGGGCAUUAGAACCGGAGGUUGAAAUCUUCUAGAUUAAUAAGCAAGUUCUUGGAUCCGAGGACCUUGAUAGGACUCAUGCUUGAGCUGCGGCCUCGACCAGAGAUUUGAGCAUAUAUGUCUAAAAAGAUAGAGACUGUAAUUUCUUGGAAAUUCAGUAGCAUGCUGCUAUGGAGUUCAGAUUGACAUACCACAGCUGCCAAUGGAUAGACAUAUUUGCAAGUUUACAUCUUACUUUACAAAGAGUACCAGUAUCACCUGCCCUUCUCUGUUGCUUCUUUCCUUCUUCCACUCAUCAAUCGCAGUAAUCCUUCGGUUCUUCAGUUCUUCAGUCUUCCUCCUGUCUUCAUCUUUUUCGUUGGCGCUCCCAGCAUCAUACUGUUCCACUCUGAAGCGCCAUGAUUCCCUGAUCGAAGACACAAACACAACUCCGAGCAACACACAUGUAACUUUCACAUAUUCCAUGUACACAUAGACCCUCUGUUUCAUCAGUUCUCUGCACCAUCUUCCCGUGCCACCCACUUCUCCGGACACAAAUAACUCAAGAGCAGGAGGACGGUCCAGUAAACUUACCGGAUAAGGUCGCAAAUUCCUCUUUCUCGUGGAGAGCACACGCACAGUAUGAACACCAGGAAAUCCAAUUAACGGCAACCCAAGAUUAGUUGUCGUCAUCAUCUUUCCUGUGACCAACAGCAGAGCAAAUCUGGAACUUCGGUCGCAGCGGUAACAGAUCUGGUCAUGCUGAACUCCAGAUCUACCGAUCUGAGCACCCCGGCAAGGUAAAACAGCCGAUGUGACAGCAAAAGGGUGAAUUAAAGAAGCCAAGAAAUAAGCAAUGAAAGAAUAACCUAGCUGGCCCUGAGAUCUAACGUGCGGCGCUGCGCUAUGCCUGGAGGUAUGAGCCUUGUGGCAGCAGGUUAAGUUAGUUGGCGGCGCUCUCUUUGUGCGCGGCGGCGGGGACACCCGCCGCCGGCAGCGCUGGCUUCUCCUCGUGGAUGAAGAAAGCGUAGAAGCCCCCACAGGAGGUUGCCGCCGCCAUGGCCCAAACGACGAGUUUGACGGCGAGGGGCAUGAUUUCUGCAACCUUGUAGCUAAACAUGACGGUGAGCAGAGUCGUGAGCCCCCAUACGGCUGCCUUGACCGUCUCUCGCUUAGGGGAGUGGCGGUCCAGGCGCUCGUAGUAGCGCAGGCAGGCGAACAGGGCGACGAGGUCGAGGUAGGAGACCACAACGAAGAUGAUUGAGCCAGUGUCGCCGUUGGAGCGGUACACGGCCAUGCCGGAGUUGAACGUCAAGAAGAGGAAGCCAAGCGCCGUCAGCCAGGAGAAAUCGGCCAUCACUAUGGCUAGUUGUCGCCGGGGAGAUGAGCGCUUCUACUCCGAAUUAGCCAGCGUCUUCGUACCUAGGAUGCAUCGAAGAAGCAGAAGGGAGCCAUUAUCAGGAAUGAGGAAUCGAUUGCCUUUCUGGAACAAAGCUCAGUGAUCGAUAAUCCAUGGAAGAACAUCGACAGACUACGAAGAGCUUGCUCGAAUGGAUUGGAGAACCAUAAAAAUCGAAAAAAAAAACCAUACUGCUUCUUCUUUUUCCUACGAACCACCAGCUGAACCAAGAAAAGGUUGAAAGGAGGGACGUACCUUUCUACUUAUUGCUGCGCCACGGCAAUGCGCAUCUAGAACGCGGGGACCUUAAAUGGCUCUGUCGUCGGCAAGGCUCAAGAUACGCGGGU